UACAGAGGUCCCAAGCGUUGCUCGGAUUCACUGGGCGUAAAGGGUGCGUAGGCGGUCGGGUAAGUCUGACGUGAAAUCUCCGGGCCUAACCCGGAAACUGCGUCGGAUACUAUCCGGCUAGAGGAUUGGAUGGGAGACUGGAAUACUUGGUGUAGCAGUGAAAUGCGUAGAUAUCAAGUGGAACACCAGUGGCGAAGGCGAGUCUCUGGACAAUUCCUGACGCUGAGGCACGAAAGCCAGGGGAGCAAACGGG
This 253-nucleotide ribosomal RNA is filed under the name uncultured bacterium. Its description in RNAcentral is "partial 16S ribosomal RNA". It matches the Rfam family "Bacterial small subunit ribosomal RNA", at positions 524 to 776 of the family's 1533-position model. The record is from RNAcentral.